This 511-nucleotide ribosomal RNA is filed under the name uncultured bacterium. Its description in RNAcentral is "partial 16S ribosomal RNA". The record is from RNAcentral.
GGAGUUAGCCGGUGCUUCUUCUGCGAGUAACGUCACAGAUGUAAGGUAUUAACUUACACCCUUUCCUCCUCGCUGAAAGUGCUUUACAACCCGAAGGCCUUCUUCACACACGCGGCAUGGCUGCAUCAGGGUUUCCCCCAUUGUGCAAUAUUCCCCACUGCUGCCUCCCGUAGGAGUCUGGGCCGUGUCUCAGUCCCAGUGUGGCUGAUCAUCCUCUCAGACCAGCUAGGGAUCGUCGCCUAGGUGAGCCUUUACCUCACCUACUAGCUAAUCCCACCUGGGCUUAUCCAUCAGCGCAAGGCCCUAAGGUCCCCUGCUUUCCCCCGUAGGGCGUAUGCGGUAUUAGCAGUCGUUUCCAACUGUUAUCCCCCACAAAUGGGCAAAUUCCCAGGCAUUACUCACCCGUCCGCCGCUCGUCAUCUUCAAAAGCAAGCUUUUGAAAUGUUACCGCUCGACUUGCAUGUGUUAGGCCUGCCGCCAGCGUUCAAUCUGAGCCAGAAUCGAACCCUGA